UCCAGCUCUUUCAGUAAUGUGUUUUGAAUUAGCAUGCUGAUUUGUCAUGACGUUACUUGUCUUUAUAUUAAUCAAUAUACAGUUCACUUCCACACGUCAGACAACUUUUACUUUGUAGAGAUCUUGUACACGCUUCAGUAAUAAAAAAUAGCCUAAGCAGAGAGGAGCAGAGAUUCAAUCAUUAGACUUUCAGGGCACGUAUAAUUUCUUAUUUUUAGCUAUUAGCCCAUCACCCUGAUGACACGCUUCCAGUUUUUGUUUGGGACAGAGAGUGUUUACACAAUAAUUAGUUAUGAUUGCUGCUGCCGCUAGCGGCUGGUAGAAUCGCUGAGGUGCCAGAGGGAGGGCGUGCGUGUCUUCAGCGGGACGCAGAAAGAUGGCAGAGCUUUUGUGGCAUGGCCACACGCCCCACGGUUCAGGAGCUGUGGCAUCGGCACGUCUGGCAUCCCGUUCGUUUGAAGGAAGGGCACACGGUCUGCAUGGUGAUACGGCAUCCGCGUAGCUGGGGGCUGGAAGCACACGGCCGAGCAACCUGAUGCUGCUAUUAUCGUCUGCUCCGAUAACAACGUGCAUACUGAGCAAAGAUAGUAUUUGUCCUUUCCCUAGGAGGUAGUUUUAACGCACGGUUGCUGUGUUCAUCCUGCGACGUAGAGUAUUCAUGUUUCUAAUUCCAGGCUCUUCGGUCUCCUGCCAGAGUUCGAAACCGAGUCCACAGCAACUCAUUCCGCUAGUGCCUCUUUGGCUAAGAACGUACUGACAGUGCUUGCGACGUUUUGUGAUAGUCUCUCACGUAGGACAGAGGUAGAAUAACAAUGGGCUCAAUAAGACCUGAAACUGGUGAAAGUUGUCUUUAUUUUCCUGAAUUUCUGUAUGUAAAGGCGAUCUGAAAACGCACCCAUACAGCUGAAACACGACUCAUCCUUACUCUGGCAUUGUUCUUUCAUCGUUUACAAGAAGAUGCUCACUUCUGAGUUUUAGCCAUCAUUUACCAAAGAUUUUGUAUGUCAAGGAGAAUAGUAAAUCCUUUAAUGGCUCCAGCUACCAGAGAGAAUAAGCCCCUAACAUAACCAAAACAUAAAAGGAUUUAUCAUAAAUUAAAUUAAAUUGUCCAAAGUCUGCUCAUCAACAGAUAUGAAGGAACAGACAGAAGAAAUAAAUCAAUUUAGCAUCUUAGUAGACCA
Molecule: long non-coding RNA, 1181 nt
Filed under: Struthio camelus australis
Lineage: Eukaryota; Metazoa; Chordata; Aves; Struthioniformes; Struthionidae
Description: lncRNA (ENSSCUG00000012049.1)
Source: RNAcentral